CCCGGGCCUCCGGGACCCGCCCGACGGGGCCGCCGCCCUCACGGCCCGGCCUGCGCGCAUCGGAGCGCCGGGAGAGCUGCUGCGGGGCGAAUGUCUUUGCGGUGACAUUGUGGUCACACCGGCAGGGCUCGCCCUUGAAGGACAGCGCGGACCUGCCCCAGGCAGGGCCCCGAGCGGCGUGAGACGAGCUCUGCGCAACGAGCCCGGCAGCCGCUGCCUUUUGGGGCGGCCGAAAACGCCCAGGGUCUUGUAGCACCCCUGCGUGCUGUUGUAAAGAUCGGAUCUUCCUCCUUCCACAGGAUUCUCCAAGAUAAAGUAUGGUGAUUUUAAAAGCGAUGCUCUUCUUCUUGAAGAGGAGCGGAAGAGUUUGUCUAGCAUGUUGCUCUGUGCAGGGCUGUAAGAUUUGGCUCAAAUGCCCGUGUGGGAGCAGAGAUCACUGCUCUUUGCACUGAGCCACAUUUCUGCACAAUUAACAGAGCCAUCUGUGAAACAUUUCUCUCCUUCUGGGAUGGACUGUGGGAAGAGCAUGAAAGAUCUCCCAGCUCUUGAGUGAACCAGCCUGUGCCCAUGCUGCAAAGCAGAUGGCUCCAGGCACAUUAGUGCAAGAAGUGUCCUCAUCACUGCUGUCAAGUAAAAAGACUGACACUGUCUCAGCAAAGAGCUCAGGGCAGGAAAAUGGGAGGAGCUUGUAAAUCUAAACAACAUGAUGUAAAUUGCCAAAUAUAGUUGAGGGAAAGCCUGAGCACUGAACUCCUGCCUGGUCACACUACUUACUUACUGCUUUGCUGUUACAAAUGGACCUUUCCCCCACUCCACACCAAGGGAAAGAUCAGCACACUGCAGGGAUACCAUUGCUGAAGUGUCCUCCAGAUGGCUAUGGAAGGAAGAAAGCAUCUCAUUGGGAGGAGAGUGAUGUUCUGCAGAGUGGAAAUGUGCUGCACAUAUGCAGAAGGAGACAAACCUCUGUUAGACCCUGCUGGAACUUACUAGAGAAAUUUUAUUGAAAUCUGGGACCAGAUGUCUCAUCCUUUCUCCAUUGCUACAUUUCAGGACCAAGUAGUUCUUGCUUAAUAUUUGCUGUUGGUUCCCUGUCAGGAUUACCAUAUUGUCAUAUUUAAAACAUGUAGUGCUUUAGAGGAAAUAUCCAAAUUCUGGGGGACUCCUAGUCUUUUUUUGGGUGUCGAGCAUAGUGAGAAUAACCAACAGUCUGAUGGUUUCACUGUCAUGAACUUUCUCUCCUGCAAAAUUCUUCUGCCCAUGAGAGAGCUUUUUAGGUCAAUAUGCCCAUGUGCUUAGCACAGAAGAGCUGUGGGUGGCCAGGCAGAGCAGUGUCGCUGAGAUCACACAUGAAACUCCUGGGAUGCACAGUUAGAAGCUGUUAGCUUCUAAGAAAACUUCUAAGCUUUCUAACUAAGAAAGAACAGCAGGUAGGACUGGGAGGGAUGGGGAAUGGGACUGUGUUCAGUUCAUCACAUAUUGUCUACACUGCUUCUUCUUCCUCAGGGUGAGGACUCCUCACACACCUCCUCUGCUCCAGCAUUUGGUCCCUCCCACAGGAGACAGUCCUCCAUGGGUUCUUCCCAUGGGCUGCUGUUUUGCACAAAUUGAAGACCUGAAUACCAGUGAAAUGUAGACAGAGGGGAAAAUUUGAAUAUAUAUAUAUAUGUCCUCUUUAAAACAGUCUCUGCAGGUAACUGUUGGAUGCAAGACUGGAGAGCAGAAAGUUACAGAACCUGUCAUUUUGUCAUGACUGGAGUAAAAAAUCUGGCAUCUAAAUUCUCAGGGCUACUGACUGAUUUGAUCACCUUACCAGGCUGUUGUGAAUUCAAAAUCCUGAUUUACACUCUGUUUUUGUUCAUGGUAUCUGCAGAAAUGUACCUGGAAAAACUCUCACCCCUGAAAUUAAGCGAUCCAGGACUUCAGCUUUUUUAGAGAUACUUCCAUUGUAAUGACCUGUGUACCUUCACCUGUUGAAAUGGUUUUCCUUGAAUGUCUUUAACUGCAAAAUUGCAGACAGUACAGAAUUUGCUUGUCUGCCAGCAUCUGGCAAUAUAAACAGUGUUAAUAAGCCAACAAGCAUUUUUGUUCUUCACAGCUCUUUUGGUUAGUAAGCCAGAAUGGAUCGUGAUUACAUGGAUUACAUGGAGAAAGCCUCAGGGCUCCAGAUCCCUAAACUGAAAUGAUGGUCAGAAUUUUCCAGACUGACAGAUGAGAAAGAAAGGGAUAAAAGAAUGCAAGGAAAUAUCAGGGAAAUAAUUUGUUUCUGAUUUGAAUAAUCAUAAUUGUCAUUCACUCAUUUUCAAGUAGGUGUCCUAAUUUGUGUCUAGUUCAGGUUUAUCCCCUAAGCCCCCAUCCCAUCUCAUAUCACCUAACCAUAAAGCUGAGUUUCUGUAUGUGGAGAAGAGGUGCUGCCCAUAUCUGAGGAAGGAAUAGCAAGUGAUUCUCAGGGCUUUGGGAAAGACAAACACACAACCUACUGCCUUCAUGCCUUCCUGGAGAGACUUGCAUCCUGUACAAGGACAUGGAACUGUCUCAAAUCCACCAGUGUGGACCAGCCCCAGGCACCUAAAUGAUGUAUUCUGCUUAGACUGGCAGUGAGUGGGUAGAACACAGCUAUUUUGUGUCCCUACUUUAUCUGAAUGUUUUACAGACUACUUUCAUAUAACACCUCUUAGUGACCUUUCUGUCACCUUCAAACAGGUCCCCACUUGGUCACAGCUUCUGUGCCCACCAGUGACAGCUGCUCAGGCAGUCCUGGAGUUCUUGUUCUAACUCCCUGAACUGAGAUUCCUAAUCUACUCACCAGCUGCAGCCCUAACCCCCUAACUUUUAACAUUAUAAACUUCUAAAAAUGUCCCAGAAUUUGUGCGUCCAGGUGCAAUCUUUGCUCUUCUGUAUUCACAAGCACUUUGCAAAGCACACCUGUUAUCACCAAUUAGAGCUGUAGGAAGCUUGCAGAACUUGUAUUUCCAUGUGGGGAAUUAAAAAGCCCUUGGGGGUCUGCAAAAUUAGACCUGCCAAGCCUUGUGAUUUGUCAAUCAGUGUCUGAGAUGGCCACCUACUUACACAGGACACUUGCCCCUCCAAGGGGGCUGCAAUAACAGGAUUUCCCAUCACACAAUACCAAACCUCCAGUAGGAAAGCAGGUGGGUAAAAGAGGAACCUUUUGCUGGUUCCGGGAGCAGCUUGGAGAUGUCAUCCAGCUCUGACAGCCCAAGCUGAGGCAUCACCUGCCCUGAGCAGAGCUGUGGCUGGGGACUGCACAGUAUGAGAGGCAGAAGGCUGGCAGCAGUGACUUCUGCCAUGCACUUGCAAAUCACACUGUGCUGCACCUGAGAGCAUGAGAGCUUCUGCUCACCACCUCCUGUGUGGUCACAAGAAAACCUCUGUCAGCGAGAAAUAAAGGCUCAGACCACACUUCAGUCUAAGUUUGUGAGCCAAUAGUGCAUCCCAGAGGCAACUUGAACAGGACUUGAACUGGCUGAUUGCAGGAUGCUCCUGGCUCAGAUUUUUUACUGCUUGUGAAAAAAAUAAUCAACCAACCAAUCAAUUAGAAGAAAAGACCCUCUUCAGGGAAGUCCAGGAGCAAAGGCUGAUGCAUCAGCUUCCUUCAAGAACAUCUUUCCACUGCAGAAUGGACUUGUCACAGGUCCUCGUGUCAGUGUUUUCAUGUCCAUGCAGAGAAGCUGCAGGGACUUCAGUAGAAGGAGACCUUCUCUGUGCCUAGCCAGAAAGAUACUGCAGGUGUCAGGGUUGGGGUAAAGGUGUUUGGGAUGAGGGAAUGGUCUUUGGGAGGAGGCCAGAUUACUUGGUGACCUGACUGACUUUAGGAAACCAGUGAACUUCUGGUGAACUCUUGCUUCCUGAGGCAAGAAUAUGCUCUGUCUUUCCUAGCCUUGCAGACAGAAGUUCUUCCCUCUUAUGCUGAGACACUCCUAAAGGCUGCAUGUUUCUCACACCCAGCAAGUCACCCCCACUGCUGACUGCAUGAGAGAGACUUGACCACAGAGCAGCUGACAAAUGCAUACAUGCCAGUGGCAAGAUGGUAGGACAUGUGGCCAGUGGAUACCAGGAGCGUGCUGUCUCCCAGUGGCAAAGAGGAUACUGCUGGCUGGCUGGGUAUGGCAUGACCUCUGUAAGAAUCAGACAGGGGUUUUGCUCAGUUCCCCUGAGGCCAUGCUAAGUGGUUGGCAUGGCUCAGGCUCCAGCAUAGUCCUGAGUGUUUGUGGAUGGAAAACAGGCAACUGAGGGACAUGAGAGCAGCCUGACACCCCCACAUUCACACUUCACUCAGGCGUGCAGGGCAAGAAACUGGAGAAUAUGCAUCUAGCACUUGGUAUCAUGCCUGUAUCAGGCUAUUGAUAUGACAAUGGCAAUGUCUAGGAAUGAACUAAGGGCUUUGGGCAACUUCCCACCUCUUCCUUCUCUCCAAGCCCUGAAGUACAAGUAUCUUCACUAGCAGACGAUGCCAAAUUACAUCAAGAAGACGUGUGGGUGGGACUUCUCAUACAAAACUACAGAAGUCCAAGCCCAAGUUAUCUGUUGCCUUUGCAGCAGGUGAAGACCCGUGAGCUAAACACAUUGCAUCCAUCUGUCUGGUGCUCACCUUGAGUCAGUGAUUGGCAGGGGCCAUUUGCCUUUCCUGAGCACAGCUCAGAGGUUGUCUCUGAGGGCUUGGCUGGCUGCCUGGCCCUCAAAGGAAAAAACUUUGUGGAAAAAACAUGCAGCUUUGUGGUCUGAAGACAGCAGCCCCCAGAGCCCAGCCCUGCUGCUCCCACCAAGGUGGAUGAAAACAUUUGUAGCUGUACACAAGGAAUAAGUGCGGCCCUCAGCAAGAGGAGAGGUGCUGGCAAGGCAGAGUCAUGGAGGCAGAAGGACCUACGCCAGGGUCUGGUUUGAGGGGAUGGCUGACAUGGGAAGCAGCACAUGGCUCAGGUACAAGCCAUUGGAUGGCAGGAGGGAGAAUAGGACUUUUGCUUUGCUGAAGUCUAACUUGGAAGCCUUUUCCCCUUUGGUUCAUGGAUUGUCUAAGUCUAGCAGUAUAAAAAAGAAAUCAGGAGCUUGGGUGAAAUCCCGCAGAAGGGCACAGAGGAUGUUUGUGGUGUGGCCUCACCUCCACAAGGGUUUGUUUCCUUCAGCAGUCCUCCCACAGCUCCUGCUUGGCUCCUGGAAGGGCACCAUAGCUGCAGAGGAUGCUGGCCCCAUGAUCACGGCUCCAGAUGGGAAGGAAAUCAUAGAAUGCUUUGGGUUGGAAGGGCCCUUAAAAGUCCUCUAUUUCCAACCCUCCUGCCAUGGACAAGUACACCUUUCACUGGACCAAAUCCUUGGAGUUGUAAUUCCACAUGCCCCCAGAACUAACAUUUAAUCUUAAGACAAGUGUUAAAUCUACCUAGGCUUUGAAAACACAGUGAUAUUAAAUCUGAAUUUAAAACAGUUUAUGCGUAGACCAUAACAACAUUUUAAUGGGGAAAAAAUACACAGUCAUUUCAAGCUUGAGGAGUUUAAGUACUAUGGGUUUGUAUAAAUGGCUGAUAUGUUAUUUGUUUAUUGGGCAAUCUGCUUUUUUAUAUUGUUUGUCAGGCUAUAUAAUUUUAGGUGAAAGCUUUUUAGCAUGCUGCACCUGCCAGAAGAACUUUCUUAGUACACAAGUUUCUGCUUCGGUGUGCAUAGAAAAUAGACCACUAAUUGCCUUCUUACCUGUCUAGCACUGUUAACCAGAACCUGGCUGGCUGCUCUGUAAAUUAGGCAACCCUAUUAAUGGUGCUCCUGCAUAAAUCAGCUGAGCACUACAUAGUUGAUUUCAUUUGAGAUUCACAAGAGGAUCAUUUAGUUAAGAGGCUGGUUUGGGCAAAAGUAGCACUUCUUUAUUAAAUCCUUGGUUUCCUAACCACAGUGGGGGACAGGAAGUGAUCACUUCACAGGACACCUGCCAAGAAUGGGAAACCUGGAAUCUUUCACUGGGUUUAUUUCUUGGGACAGGUUCCUUGCUUCCCUUGAGCCUUUGCCUGUGUUGGUGUGCUCUGGAUCUUUGGACUGCAUAUUACUCCAAGGGGAAGUCAUCUUCUAGUUUGGGCUAGUGCUGGGACCAUAUGGCCCAGAUGGCUGUGGGGUUUCUGAAAGCUUCUUUACUACGAGGUGAUGUCUCACUUCCUUCAGUUGCCGUGAUGAAAUUACUCUCACGAAGGUUUCUGCAAUGCCACGUGGAUUUUAUUGACUGUGAAAAACUAUUGUAGAUGCAAUAUAGCACAACUGCCUCAAAUCAAAAGAUCUAAUGGUCAUGCCUGGCUAGAAACCCAGUGGCUGGGUGUUGCUGUGUUGUAGCUCACUGAGUGGUGUUUCAAGGCUCAGGCAUUCAUUUGCUCCUUGGCAGUGCAGACACCACCUUUGUCAAGGGUCAGUGCAGGCUGCCCAGAGCUUUUGCAAACUGAAACAAGCUGAGAGUAGCGAGUGUCUCACAAUCCCUCUGCAAGCACUCAGUGCUUGCUAAGAGCCAAAUCCAGAGGUGCCCUCCCAAGGAUCAAAUGCCCAAUGCAUUUCUUACCAGUUGGGAGAGACUCUGACCAUUCAACUCUCCCUUAACACACUACAAGACCAGGCAGUCUCCCAAGUCACAUCGAGUGUUUUCUGACUGCUGGUUUUUAAAGCCUCCGGUUAUUCCCAAAGCUUGGACCAAAUACUGAGUUAAUGAUUACUGGGUGAAGUUUCAGUGGUUAUUUUGAGGGGACAGCCUUUUCCAGCCUUCUGGACACCUGAGGCAGGACAUUUAAUCAAUGUCUUUGUCCUUGUCAGCUGAUGCAUUAAAUCAGAUGGUGUUCAAGUACAUAAAAUCAUUUCAAGCAUUGACAACGUGCUUUCCAGUGUGCAGGUAAGGAGCAAUAAAAACUACAUGCAUCAUUCAGAGAAUAAAAAUCAGGUCAAGUUUUCAAUUAAAUGUGUCAACCUAUACCCAUUAUGUGUGUGCAGUUCAUCAUCCCUUCAUAAAGAUAUUGAUUUUUUUUUCCUAGUCUUUUAUGUAAUUGUGGAUUUAAAUCACAGCCUUAUGAACUUGAUCUGGACUCGAAUUGUGAAUCUUAUACAGAAAUAAAUAUAUAAAUACAGACUGAACAGAAGUAGUAUAAAAAGUAAGGAAAUUGACAUAUAAUAAAGGGGUUUGGAAAUACUAGACAGAAACAUAAUUAACAAGAUUAGAACAGAGAAAGUGAAAGAGAAAGCAGAUGAAAGAAAGUGGUGGAAGAUAAGGCAAGGGGCAAGAAAGGCAAGCAGAGGAGUUUUGCAGAUCAGUGGAAAUAGUCAAAGCUACAUGGAUCCUGAAUAUAUCUUAUAUCUAAAUUGCACUUAAAACAGUGCAUUAUAAAUAAAUAAGCAAAGCUAAGAUGUUACACUGUACAGGAAAUGUUUAGAUUAUUUUAUAUACAAUGGAAAAUAGUAGUCAUUGUCACUAAGUGAGUGAGAAAUCUAUAUUAUUUAAUUGCCUCCACUUACUUUUGUCUUAGUGAGUUAUCUGUGAGAAAAUUCUAGUUACUUUUCCUUGAUUUUUUACAACAUGAGAGGUCCAAAAAGUUUUCAGAAGGUAGACGUCUCAAUUUAGAGAAUAUAUCAGCAUUUCAAUAUUUAGAAUUAACCUGUGCUAAUGACUGAAUGAGCCUGUAAACAUAAGAACUAGGCCCAUUGUGGUGAAUUGCACAGACCAGGAAAUACAAGCAAGGAAGCUGGCUGAACAGCUUCAGUUGAUACCACAUCUGUGUGCUCUCUGACAUGGCAUUUUGUAUGCUGCCCUCCUCCUCCUCCUCGUUCCCAGGGCUCUUCUCUUAUCUGCAACAUGUUAUAGACAAACUCACUUAAAAGAAUGCUGCGUUUCUUCUGCUUUGCCUCUGUAGAUCCUUCAGCCCAAGACUUAUUCACUACUCAAAGGACAAAGGGAUGGCUUUUCUUGUGGAUUUCCUCCUAGCACUUCCCUCUGUGGAGUUUGAAAUGUUCACAGCACCUGCUGAGAUUCUGUGAUAUCAGAUAUGGAGGGAAGAAAGAAACCUGAUGCCUUGAUUUUCAAAUGAAUUUCAGUCAUUGCAUAACCAUAUAAAUACCUUCUGAAAUCCAUGUUAGAUCAAGUGUCCUAAGGUUAAAAAAGUGUCCCCUAGUUCUUAGUGUCUACUUGAAGCUCUCAGAAGUGCUACUGGAGCUAAGAAAAAAGACUGUGUGGACAGCGCUGGAAGGGGUCAAGACACUUCCAGAGCCCAGUUCUUGUGUCAUUGGGUGUUCACAACCAGAGCCCAAAAGCUUCCUUUUCUCUUGGCAGUACCUUGAGCUGAUGCAGACCAGAAAAGAAAGGUGUUUGCAGAUGGAAACCCAUUCUGGAAAAUUUAACCCAAGAGACUGACCGAGAUUACAUUAUCUCCCUUUGGUCAGACCUGCUGGAGCAUAGCCCAGGUCCUGCUUCCCACUUGGGGAGAGGGAUGGUGAGAGCCCAGCCUCCCUCUCUCCUGGCUUCUAGACCCAUGCUUCCUUCAUGGAAAAGGUCCUUCAUGACCUUUUUCCUCCAUGCCCAGGGCUGGAGGAUGGAGCAUUAGUAAUACCUCCCAACAUUUCCCUGCAGGGCUCAAUAUCACAAUUGCCACAUGGUGAGCUCUCAUGCAGUCCUCAGGUCCAGGGCAGGGAUCUGCUCACUGCUGUGAAUAUAUAAAGGAUUGGCUGCUAAGUUUUAAGAUGUAUCUGUGGAACCUGUGUAGUGUGCAGCAGUUCAAAGUUUGAUUAAAUGUGGGCAGCUUUGCAUAAAAAGAUUGAUCUGGAGAGACAUUGCUGUGGGACAACAUCCCAAAAGGAAUUCUAACAUACUUAAAUCCAGCAAAAAAACACAGCAGCUAAGAAAACAGAGCAGGAAAAUUCUGUGCAAGGUUACUGUCUCCAGAUAUUGGCUAUUCCUGUCCUCUACUCUUGUUUGGGAUGAGCUGUACACCGUUGCUUUUGCUUUCAGAGCCUUGCAGAGGAGGCAGUGACUCCACACCCUCCCUACAUGGGCAGCUACUGUGUGUCACGGUUUCCCAGCUUCACUUUCAUACCAAUCCAAACAAUUACAAGGAAAAAUUCCCCACAUGUUUGGUGAGAGGUAGAGAUACAGAAUGGAAAAUUUCAGCUCAAAUAGUUGAAGUCCAGCAAAGUUACAACGGACAAACAAGAGGGGAGGACUAUGGUGAGAACUGCCAGGUGCCACUUGCCUUGCCAGGUUCUGUCUGAGCCCCAAACCUCACGUGCCCCAAAGAGCCUGGGGUCUAGGGGAAAAAAUAAAGCAGUCAGGGGCUGCUGCAAGAGUUCUUUUUAGAUUGAUGAUUCUACCCUGGAUUCCUCUAGCUGUAACUUUCUGGAUAAACAUAUAUAUAUGUAUAUGUACGUAUAUGUAUUUUUUCCCCUAGUCCUAUCUGGUAUAAUAAACACUGAGUAGAGAACAGAAAACUGUGGGGCAAAAAAAUAUGAAACAGCUGUGUUUUCAGCGGGAAUGUUUACAGUAUUCAAAAGUAAUUCCUCAGCCCUUCUUACGAGACAGUGAAACUGUGCUUCCCUUUCAUUAUCACUCUCUGGUGAUAAUGAAAUAAUUAAUAUUGGGGAAGAUGGAAAAAAAAUCAAAGGUGCAAAUUAGAAAGUGUAAAAAGAGACUACAUAUAUAAAAGACUGUACUAUUCCCAGCUUUGCCAAGGCAAAUUCCCUAUGUAUUUCCUGGACAAGGUCUUGUUUAAAAUGGCUGCGUAAACAUGACUUCCUGCAGUUCAAGCUCUCUUCUCUCACACCUUCAGUGUGAAGAAGCUGAUGUGUGGUGGGAAGAGCAAACUGAACCUGCUGUGUGCCAAUGCUGAAUCGCUCAGAGGCCUACAAAAACUUCUUGCCAAAAAAAAAAGCUGAUGAACCAGUCUUACUUUAGGGCAGGUGGAAUAGUUCGUGCUCUCAUUUUAUCGUUAGCUCUAAGAGAGAAAGACAGAUUUGUUUUCACAUGGUUAUUGAUUAUUAACCAGCUUUGUGAAAGGUUACCUUUCUGCUAGAUACAGCCAUGGUGGGGGGUUAAAAAUCAAUCUCUGGGAAAGCUCUGUUUCCCAGUCAACUUCUCCCAGUGAGGUCCCUCACCAUGGGUAGAGUUUACCUGUGUUGGUUUGAGCACAGAUGAGAGAGAAAAGGAGAUUAUUGUGAAUAUGUUCCACUCACCUUCAGUACUUCUUUUCUGUCUAAAUGUGGAUUCCAGAAAAGGGUUUGAGCACUGAGAAGUUGUUAAAUAUUAUACAGAUAGAGAAAAUCUAACCAGAUUAUUUUAGGAACUGUGACUGUACUAUACUCCUUACUGUUUUACACUCUAAUUAGACAGUCAGGGUGGUGGGAGGAAUGAUAAAACUUCCAUAGGUUAUAAUAGGAAAGGGAGCUAAUUGAGUAAGGGUUCACAAAUUAUUUGUGUUGAAAGGCAAACCAAAUGCUCCUGUCAUCUUUCCUAGGGAAAAAAGGUAAUGCUGCAUCCAGAUGGCCUUAGUUUUCACUGAUCUCAGCAGCCUGCAGUCAUGUCUGUCAGACACUGCUGGGGAAGACUUCCAAAGAACAGUGACUCACAUCAAACCCCUGAAUUAACCAUUUGGAGGCAGGAACAUUGCAAAUGCCCUCGGAUUUCAAGAAGCAUAUUGUAUAUGUUGGCACACAUUUUAAAACCACAUAGAUAUGAUGUUAGGCAUGUGAUCUUGCUUUCAGAACCCCUGGCCAUUCAGAGAUUUGUAUUAUAUUGCAAAGUUCUAGGCUUCAUAGAAUACGGAAUGAGUUAACUAUGCAGAUUGUCUCUUCUCUGUCAAACACCGGGCUAGAGGAAUGUGAUUGAAUCUUGAGAAGUCCUUAAAACAUGCUUGAAUCUAAUAUGCUAACUCAAGUAUUGCAGUGCAGCUAUUGUGUGAUGUUACUGUAGGACAGCAGCAGCUGUGCACCUGAAGCAUUUGCUUCUUGAAUAUCUGAAUCCUGUGCUUGCGCUGAGGAUAGUUACAACCUGCUGCUCUAUUUAACACUGCUGCUAUCACCAUCAUUAUAAUUACUGCUACAGAAUCGAGGAUUCCUUCUUGUCUAAUCUUUUGGACUAGCAAGGUUACUGUGAGAAUUUCUGUUUAUGCAUACAAAUAUCUCAAGGGUGAGUGCCAGAGGAUGGGGUCAGACUCUUUUCAGUGGUGUCCAGUGAAACAGCACAACAGGUACAAACAGAAAGACGCAAAAUUCCAUUUGAAUAUGAGGAAAAACUUCCUUUCUUUGAGGUUGACAGAACACUGAAACAAGCUGCCCAGAUAGAUUCUGGAGUCUCCUCUGGAGAUAUUGAAAUCUGGAGUUUCUUUUCAGCCUGAACUAAAACUGUGUUAAUUGGGUUUUGGGACUAUGUAUGAGACACAACACUGAACUUUUCAGCUCCAUGGAUGAAGUUGGGGGAUUUAAGCAAAUGUGCCAGCCAUAAAUAUCCCCAAGUUAUGAGGGACUUCUGCAGUCCUUUAAAACUUCCUACAACAGGUAAAGUACAGGAUCUCCAGCUGAACUGUAGCAUACAUCCAGAUGGGGUUAAGGGUGGGGAAAUUCUACCUGUUCCGUUGUUGAUUUGUUCCUGUGUGCGAAAUGUCCAUUACUUUUCUCUGUUUUCAAUGGUUAAAACUUGACUGUACAUCUCCCAGUGGGAAUAAAGAUGUUUGUAUCAACCAUUUUUUAUUUUCACUGCCUACAGACUGAGGAUGGUCAAGUUUCUCGUUAUUCCAAGCCUGCCAAAACCAGACUUGGGGAGUGAAGACGGGGAAGUUUUCAGCAGGGAGAUGACAAUGUAUGUACAGGAGAACCUGGACUCAUCAUUCAAAGUCCACAAAUGAGCUAGAGGCAAGGAUGCACCUUUUUAUCUCUUGCAUUGUGCCUACCCAUCUCAAGGCUCUUCUAGUCGGAAAAUUAAGACUGUUUAAAUGCAGUCAGUGGCAGGGUCAGCUGUGUCUCACACAGCAGCACUUAAUCAGGGGAACACUUUGUGCAAGCUGGUGAGAGGCAAAAUGUUUACAUCAAGUUUCAGGGAAGAUUUAAAAUGUGGAAAAAUCAGCUGAGGACUAUUACAUUCAUAGCACUUGGGAACUCCUUGGAGCACAAAAUUCUGGGAGUUUAGUAGAAGAUGUUUUGAUGUCUUGUAUGCACACCCUUCUGCAAGUCCCUCAGGUGAUGCAUAUUGACCACUUUCAGGGAUGAAUUUGUGUCGGCAGAGCCCAGUUCUGGGGCAAGUGAGGCCAUUGGCCAUUCCUAUCAUUCUCAUCGGCCUCCUCCAUCAUCCAUUUUCCACAUCGAGUGGACAAUUUCCCAUUCGGGUGGGACACCAGUGCUCAGAGACUUCUCCUGGGAACCCCCAGCUGUGGAAGGACGCAAGCCAAGUAUCAAUGGCUGCAUCCCAGGUCGAGGAAGCAGACAGAGGUGGUCCCUGGGAUCUGGUUCCAGCCUCCCCAGUGCCGGGAUACCCAGCGGGUAUUUUCCUGCACCGCAGCUCGCCACCUUGUUGUCAGAACGGCAAAGCGUGCCCUUAUCGCCUGCUCACGCAGGCAGAAUGAAAGAGAAUUAGCUCUAAAUUAUAGGAAAUUCAUUUGCUUUGCAGGGUGAAGUGUUUGCUCUGUUUAGAAACGUUCGUUGUAGAGAGAGGACCGCAUUAAGACACCGGGUAAUGGUCCUCCCAGGAGAUGAAUCAAUUUGCUCUGGGUUUUAUGGCCUCGGGUUUGUUUGUCCGCGCCGGUUCCCCGUGGAAAACCCGGAGCAGUAAAUGCUCCAGGUAACAGAUCUCUGGGGAAGGGGCUGUGGGUGCUGCUCUGGGGCCGGGGCACAAGACGUCUCCGGAUCAGAGGACAGCCGUGCCUGAGAGAGACCUGAGAGGAGACA
Non-coding RNA from Cyanistes caeruleus (blue tit), 12888 nucleotides. NCBI's taxonomy places the organism in Eukaryota, Metazoa, Chordata, Aves, Passeriformes, Paridae. The record is from RefSeq and is a predicted model, not a curated record.